AAAGAAGACAAUUUAGGUAACAGAAACAAACUUUAACACUUCAUGAAACGGGAAGUCUCUGUUCCCAAGCGUCCACAGAACUGUAAAAUGUGGCGGAAGGCAGGACACUUUUAUAAGUUAAAGAAUAAGGAACAUGGAAGAGAAAACAGAAAAUGAGUAAGGAAUAGGAAGUAAGUAGAGAGCCCAGAGUCACCUUGGCGUUUGGGAGUUGGCUGCCUGGAUAGACUGCGUUUCUGGUCAAGAGGAACAUCUACAGGGACACAAAAGUGAUCUACAUCUUGGUUUACUGAUGUGUCACCCGGGCAGGAGUGGCUGGGCUGUAUCUUGGGCCUGGAAAUUAAUUUCAACACCCAUCAUGGCUGAAAAUAACUCAUGAUGUUGAACUGACCUGACCUGGGCUUGACUGGAGUUCAGAUGGAUGAAAACUUUGCCUCUCUGUGGGGGAUGAUGGGUUAGGGAGAAACUGAUGUGCCCAAUUUCCUUUUUUUUUUUUUUUUUUUUUAAGUUUUCUGCCUCAGUGCCUUGUAGUAAAAAGAAAGGACUUGAUCAUCAAGAUGAUUUUGGAUAUCAUUUCGUGGUCUCCUUUUGCCUCUCACAGGACUCUUCACCAACAAAGUAGACAUGCGGUCACUGGCUAAGCUGAACUCUGUGACUGGGAAGCAAAAUUAUCCACAUUGCACUCAGCUGCUGCUCCUGACGGCACAGCUUCUGACAGCCUUGGCCCCAGAGACAUCCCUGCCCCUUUCCCCAUGGAAACUACCCCAAGGUAAUGACCCCAAGUUGUGGCGGUGAGAACAUUUAAAGCCUACUCUCCUCGCAACUUUCAAGGAUACCAUAGAGUAUUGUUGACUAUAGUCGCCAGGCUGUA
Balaenoptera acutorostrata (minke whale) is the source of this 868-nucleotide long non-coding RNA. RefSeq lists it as uncharacterized. Lineage: Eukaryota; Metazoa; Chordata; Mammalia; Artiodactyla; Balaenopteridae. The transcript is spliced from 3 exons. The record is from RefSeq and is a predicted model, not a curated record.